Molecule: non-coding RNA, 90 nt
Organism: Canis lupus familiaris (dog)
Lineage: Eukaryota; Metazoa; Chordata; Mammalia; Carnivora; Canidae
Source: Rfam
CCUUCGGUAGCUCAGCGGGUAGAGCGGAGGACUGUAGGCUGGCUAGGCGCGGACAUCCUUAGGUCGCUGGUUCGAUUCCGGCUCGAAGGA